This is a non-coding RNA of Mus musculus (house mouse), 73 nucleotides long. The record is from Rfam. NCBI's taxonomy places the organism in Eukaryota, Metazoa, Chordata, Mammalia, Rodentia, Muridae.
GGGGAUAUGGUUCAGUGGUUAAGAACACUGACAGCUCUUUCAGAGGACCCAGGUUCAAUUCCCAGCAUCCACA